RNAcentral lists this ribosomal RNA (229 nucleotides) under uncultured bacterium. RNAcentral describes it as "partial 16S ribosomal RNA". It matches the Rfam family "Bacterial small subunit ribosomal RNA", at positions 104 to 334 of the family's 1533-position model. The record is from RNAcentral.
CGGGGUGAGUAAUGUCUGGGAAACUGCCUGAUGGAGGGGGAUAACUACUGGAAACGGUAGCUAAUACCGCAUAAUGUCUGCGGACCAAAGCGGGGGACCUCCGGGCCUCGCGCCAUCAGAUGAACCCAUAUGGGAUUAGCUUGUAGGUAAGGUAACGGCUUACCUAGGCGACGAUCCCUAGCUGGUCUGAGAGGAUGAUCAGCCACACUGGGACUGAGACACGGCCCAG